RNAcentral lists this long non-coding RNA (1109 nucleotides) under Homo sapiens (human). RNAcentral describes it as "HSALNT0290516". Lineage: Eukaryota; Metazoa; Chordata; Mammalia; Primates; Hominidae. The record is from RNAcentral.
GCCCAACUCACUCCAGCCAGAAACCUUAUGUGCUUCCUCUGUGCCCCCAUGGCCCUGGUUCAGACCUUCCUGGGGGCCACUUCACAUCUCGUCUGCGCCGCCCAGAGCAGCGUCCUCCUACUCACCCUGCAAUGCCCACCAACCUCAUGCCCACAGCAGGGCCAGUUGCAUCAGGUUCAAUAGAGAGGUUAUGGGCAGAAUGGGGUGAAUUCUUAGAGAAUCUCACAAAAGGAGACGCGGAGGGCGGGAUGAGGAGUGUAAAACCAACUACUCUCCACCCCUGCCCGCCUCCUGUGGUAAGGUGCAGGUUCACCCACUGGUUAUGGCAUAAGGCAGCAUGUUCCAUGGGUUCUAGUGGGGCAGGGAAAGAGCCUGCAUUUUCAAGCACCUGCCGUGUGCCAGGCACGUGCUUAGCUUUUGCUAUCCAUGAUCUCAUCUAGACUUCACUCCAACUCCUGCUCCCCGACCAAGAUGUGGAAACUGAGGCUCGGAAGUGCAGCUCCAGCCACGCCUGGAGCCAGCCUGAGAAUGGAGUGUGUUCAACUCCAGGGUCUGGGUACUUCACCUCCACAGUGAACUGCAGAGUGGACUCAGCUCAUCUCAUGGGGGCUCAGAUGAGGAAAUGAAACCCAGAGAGGACAAGUGACUUGGCCCACAUCCAGCAGGAAGUCAGUGGCAGAGCUAAGACCAGGUCUCCCGGCUCCCCGUGAAAUGUUUCUGGCCUUAGCAGCACAGUGUAGAGCCAGAGGUUCUGAAAUCACCUUCUAGAAACAGCCAUGCCCUCAGAUGAGAGCAGAAGCCUGAAAUAAGAAGAAGGGGGCCUGCAAGGGACCCUUUUCCUACUCUUGGUGUGAAAGUAGAUUCCCAGAUACAAUGUGGGAUGCCUAGUUAGAUUUCAGCUUUAGUGGCCAGGUACGGUGGCUCACGCCUAUAAUCCCAGCACUUUGGGAGGCCGAGGUGGGUUGAUCACUUGAGGUCAGGAGUUUGAGACCAGCCUGACCAACAUGGCAAAACCUUGUCUCUACUAAAAAUACAAAAUUAGCCGAGUGUGAUGGUGGGUUCCUGUUAUCCCAGCUACUCUGGAGGCUGCGGCAGAGAAUUGAACCCGG